UAAAUUCCACGCGGUAAGUGGCUUACUUGAGGUCUAACGUACUUGAUUAUUUACGUUAGUAAGCAUUUAGACAAAAGGACACACGUUUGUAUAAUACUGGGGUAAAUGGUUAAGUAAGAAGAUAAAAUUACCAAACAUUAGGCUACGCUUUGUUCAGUUUCACUGUGGAAAAGACCGCGAAGUGAAGUAUACACAGUGUGGUUUCUGUGGAUGGCUCGCGUGUCUUCAGCAGCGGCAGAAUCCUCGGAGGAACUGGCCUGACUCAUCUGCAUCUGUGACAGAUUUUGAUGUGGGCCGAUCAUGGGUACGCAUACACAAGAUGUUUAUGACCUGCUCCAGCGAAGCAAAGGUGGAUCUGGACUCAAAUCCUCAUUGCAAGUGAUUAA
Carassius auratus (goldfish) is the source of this 386-nucleotide long non-coding RNA. RefSeq lists it as uncharacterized. The transcript has 4 exons. The record is from RefSeq and is a predicted model, not a curated record. NCBI's taxonomy places the organism in Eukaryota, Metazoa, Chordata, Actinopteri, Cypriniformes, Cyprinidae.